CAGAUUUUGCCCGGGUCUAAAAGACCCGCAUUACAGACAGGCCUAUAUGGCCAAAUUAAUAAAACAAAUAGUGGCCCAAACCCAAUUACAACGAAAUAGGCCAAAAUACAAUGGCCCUAAAAAAAUAUCAGAAACCCGAGGGUUUCUAAAUCACCUGCGCCGCAACCAUGCCCUCCAAGCAUUCCCGAUCUUCAUACCUGCACAUCAAGAAAAAACAAAAAAAAAAAAGGAAACACAAUCAAAUAUUCGAAAAUUAAACAGAUUUGUUUCUUCUUUAGAUUUGUUUCAUUCGGCUAUAAAAAAGCCAUGAAUGCAUUGUAAUAGGGAUCCGAUUUGGACAAUCAAUAAAGAGGGGUUUUUAUUCUCACAACAAAACAUCAGAAUACUAAUAGUGCAAACAUCAAUCAAAAAAAGGUUGAUUUCUAUAAUCUAUUGCUAUUUACUUUUUUUUUGUGUACAUACAAAUAAAAUAAAAAAGGAAAAAAACGACCUGAGUGGUGCCCAGAACCACCGUGACUGGUCAGAAACCGAAAGGUUUCUCGGAGAUUUGAGGCUCUUGCAGUUGUGUUUUGUGGGUUUCGGGGCCAGAUCUAGGCUUAGGGGCCUCGGAGGAACCGGAUCUGAGAUUCUCCCCUUUUUCGGCCACCACAGGCGGCGGUGUCGGCGCCGGAGAACAACGGCCGGCGCGGUGGCCGAUGACCAGCCGAUGGUCGGACUGGAGUCCGAUGGGCUGGGGGGAGAGAGAACUUUUUUGAAGUUUUUUUUCUGUU
This 770-nucleotide long non-coding RNA is filed under the name Gossypium raimondii (Peruvian cotton). Its description in RNAcentral is "long non-coding RNA (GRAI_LNC000248)". Lineage: Eukaryota; Viridiplantae; Streptophyta; Magnoliopsida; Malvales; Malvaceae. The record is from RNAcentral.